Oreochromis aureus is the source of this 661-nucleotide long non-coding RNA. RefSeq lists it as uncharacterized. NCBI's taxonomy places the organism in Eukaryota, Metazoa, Chordata, Actinopteri, Cichliformes, Cichlidae. The record is from RefSeq and is a predicted model, not a curated record. The transcript has 5 exons.
CACUUUUCACACAGUGAUUUCUAGCAAAUUAUCAGUUUUAUUGAAGAAUAUUUUCAUCCUGAUGAGGACUAAAAAUUCACAGAGCCAGAAGAAAGCGACUUCCAUCAUGGAAAAUUGUGCUGCUGAAGUCCAAGACAGCCUCACAGCAAAGAGAGUCUCUGCACAGCUAUCAGAGAGGAGGAGAAAGCCUGGAGCCUGUAGACGGUGUCAGUGCUUCAAGGAUGAGCAGCACACUCAAGUGAAACGCCAGCGCUCUCCAAGUGCAGACAUCCUUCCCCAGAAAAGGAGAAAAACCAAGGCCUCCACCUCAGAUGCAGACGACACACUCACAAGACCAUCAGCCACCAUCCCUGAUGCUGAGCUGCCUCCGGUCUCAAAUACAGCCCCCAACCUCCAACCUUCUACUGUUGUACCUCGGCCAGCAGGUGUACCAUGAAGUGGUCGAUGAUAUGCUGAGAGACAAGAACGGACAGCUCCGUCCAUACAGUUUGGAGCUGGGACGCCUCAUAAAGAAGAAGCUAUGGGAGAGACUGAACCGUCACACAAUGAUUAUGUCUACUGAUGAAGACGGCCGCCUUCACGUGGAUGUGACUUACGGAGUUGAAGAGUGUCCUCCUGAAUUUAAUGUGGAUACUACGGAAGAACCCGAGUGCUGAACUGA